UACGGAGGGUGCAAGCGUUAAUCGGAAUUACUGGGCGUAAAGAGCGCGCAGGCGGUCGUUCAAGUCGCGUGUGAAAGCCCCCGGCUCAACUGGGGAGGGUCACGCGAUACUGAUCGGCUCGAAGGCAGGAGAGGGUAGUGGAAUUCCCGGUGUAGUGGUGAAAUGCGUAGAUAUCGGGAGGAACACCAGUGGCGAAGGCGACUACCUGGCCUGUUCUUGACGCUGAGGCGCGAAAGCUAGGGGAGCAAACGGG
RNAcentral lists this ribosomal RNA (253 nucleotides) under uncultured bacterium. RNAcentral describes it as "partial 16S ribosomal RNA". It matches the Rfam family "Bacterial small subunit ribosomal RNA", at positions 524 to 776 of the family's 1533-position model. The record is from RNAcentral.